RNAcentral lists this ribosomal RNA (492 nucleotides) under Sancus acoreensis. RNAcentral's name for it is "partial 16S ribosomal RNA". It matches the Rfam family "Bacterial large subunit ribosomal RNA", at positions 1800 to 2619 of the family's 2925-position model. Lineage: Eukaryota; Metazoa; Arthropoda; Arachnida; Araneae; Tetragnathidae. The record is from RNAcentral.
CUGUUUAACAAAAACAUUUUUUAAAGAUAAUAAUUUUAAAUACAACCUGCUCAAUGUUAAAUAAAUAGCCGCAGAAAUUUAACUGUGCUAAGGUAGNCAUAAUCAUUAGACUUUUAAUUAGAGCCUAGAAUGAAGGGUUAAACAUUUUUCUUUCUUUUUUANNAAUUCUUUAAUAAAACUUUUAUUAAAAAUAAAAAUAUUUUUAUAUUUUAAUUAGACGACNAAGACCCCAUCAAACUUUACUUUAGUUUAACUGGGGCAGUUAAUUAAUAAAAAUUUUAAUAAAGAUUAAGUACUAAAUAGANNNCCCAACANUAGUUGAUUACANUGAACAAGUUACUGUAGGGAUAACAGCGUAAUAUAUAUCUAAAGUUCUUAUUUUGAUAUAAGUUUGCGACCUCGAUGUUGAAUUNAUAUUACUUUCAAGCGCAAGAGCCUGAAAAGUGGGUCUGUUCGACCCCUAAAUAUAUACGUGAUCUGAGUUCAAACCGG